GACGAACGCUGGCGGCGUGCUUAACACAUGCAAGUCGAACGGAAAGGCCCCCUUGUGGGGUACUCGAGUGGCGAACGGGUGAGUAACACGUGAGUAACCUACCCUUGACUUUGGGAUAACUUCAGGAAACUGGGGCUAAUACCGGAUAGGAGCUCCUGCUGCAUGGUGGGGGUUGGAAAGUUUCGGCGGUUGGGGAUGGACUCGCGGCUUAUCAGCUUGUUGGUGGGGUAGUGGCUCACCAAGGCGUUGACGGGUAGCCGGCCUGAGAGGGUGACCGGCCACAUUGGGACUGAGAUACGGCCCAGACUCCUACGGGAGGCAGCAGUGGGGAAUAUUGCACAAUGGGCGGAAGCCUGAUGCAGCAACGCCGCGUGCGGGAUGACGGCCUUCGGGUUGUAAACCGCUUUCGCCUGUGACGAAGCGUGAGUGACGGUAAUGGGUAAAGAAGCACCGGCUAACUACGUG
Molecule: ribosomal RNA, 465 nt
Filed under: uncultured bacterium
Lineage: Bacteria
Description: partial 16S ribosomal RNA
Rfam family: Bacterial small subunit ribosomal RNA
Source: RNAcentral